UACCCCUUAUGCAAGCGUUAUCCGGAAUUAUUGGGCGUAAAGCGUUUGUAGGCGGGCGAGUGUGUUUAAUGUUAAAUCUUAAAGCUCAACUUUGAAAUUGCGUUAAAAACUGCUUGUCUUGAGUAUGGUAGGGGUAAGGGGAAUUCCCAGUGUAGCGGUGAAAUGCGUAGAUAUUGGGAAGAACACUAAACAGCGAAGGCACUUUACUAGGCUAAUACUGACGCUGAGAAACGAAAGGUAAGGUAGCGAAACGGAUUAGAUACCCGUGUAGUCUUACCCGUAAACUAUGGACACUAAACGGUAAAUUUUUAAUUUACUGUUAAAGCUAACGCGUUAAGUGUCCCGCCUGGGGAGUAUGCUUGCAAAAAGUGAAACUCAAAGGAAUUGACGGUGGCCCGCACAAGCGGUGGAGCAUGUGGUUUAAUUCGACGGUACACGAAGAACCUUACCAGGAUUUGACAUGCCAGAUAGUUGCUUGGAAGAGUAACGUGCCGUAAGGAAUCUAGACACAGGUGGUGCAUGGCUGUCGUCAGUUCGUGUUGUGAAAUGUUGGGUUAAGUCCCGCAACGAACGCAACCCUUGUCUUUAGUUAUUUUCUAAAGAGACUGCCUGUAAUAAACAGGAGGAAGGUAAGGAUGAGGUCAAGUCAUCAUGCCCCUUAUGUCCUGGGCUACACACGUGCUACAAUGGGAAAGACAAUGAGCUGCAAAUCUGUAAAUUUAAGCAAAUCUCUUAAACUUUCUCGUAGUUCGGAUUGUGGGCUGCAACUCGCCCACAUGAAGUUGGAAUCGCUAGUAAUCGCCAGUCAGCUAUAUGGCGGUGAAUCCGUUCCCGGC
This 836-nucleotide ribosomal RNA is filed under the name uncultured bacterium. RNAcentral describes it as "bacterial SSU rRNA". It matches the Rfam family "Bacterial small subunit ribosomal RNA", at positions 524 to 1378 of the family's 1533-position model. The record is from RNAcentral.